This 2631-nucleotide unclassified non-coding RNA is filed under the name Dimorphilus gyrociliatus. Its description in RNAcentral is "gpcrRhopsn4 domain-containing protein". Lineage: Eukaryota; Metazoa; Annelida; Polychaeta; Dinophilidae. The record is from RNAcentral.
AGAUUUCUUUUGCAGUCUCAGUGAAAUUAGAGGGUGAUUGUACAAAAUGAUUAAAUUAGUAAAAUUAAGUUUAUUAAUAUUUUGUUUAAAACACGUUUCUACAAAAGUAAUUUCCGGUGAAAUAGAUACUAAUAAGGUAUAUAAUAUAAAUAUAAUACAAAAUCUCAUCAUUUGUUGAUAAAUGAAAACAUUGAAUUAGGAUUGGAUUUUCCUUGCAAGAUUCUGCUUUCUCUCUCGAGUGGGAAAAAUGAAUUUUACAUUCAUAUACCCAGUGGUAAUUAUAACAUCUUAUCAGUAAAAACUAAUAAGUUAUUGAAUAAAUAGAAUUAUCAACCGGAACGUAUAAUUCUAUACUUUGAUAAUCAAUGGCCGAAAGUCUAUAAAAAGGGUUUGGUGAGAUUUUUAUCUUUACUUUACUAUAUAUACAUAUAUAUAUAUAUAUUUGACACUUUAUUCUAUCUCACCUAUUUACACUCUAUCUUGUGAAAACUUCUAACUUGGCAGCAAAGCUAUUUUCAGUUGACACUUAUUUAUAAGCACGCUCCUUUCAAAACUGUUAUAAAACUCGCUGUUAAAUUAUCACUUUGUAUAGAGUUUCGUUUAAAGAACAAUGUACUUUUAAGAUCUACGAUGUAAUAAUAGUAUUAUUUGAAGUGCCUCUAACACAAAAAUAGACGUACUCUUAGUUUUGAUGUCCAAAAAAUACAUCAUUUUUACUUGCAUUUAAAAGGCAGACUCGUAAAAAGAGAGAGAAGAAAUUAACUAUAAAUUACACCUUCAAAGUAAAACAGCUAUUGAUUUGGAAAGAGAUGCUGAAAAUGUUGUAAAAAUUUUAUUGUUGGCAUUCUUAUCAAAUAGCAAUGUAUAAUUUAGAUCUAUGCAAAUAAUAUAUUAUAUUUUUUAUGUACAAUUUGUUGUGUCAGUUUAAACUAAUUUUUCUUAAAUAAUAUAGACAUGCAGCAAGAAGAAUUCAAUCAUUCAAAGCAUAAAUAAUCAAGAAAUAAUAUUAACGGAUCGGUAACCUGUUCUAAUUAUUCGUAGCUAUAGAGUUUCUAUUAUAUAUACUAAUAUAAAUUUAUAUAAGUAUAAUAACAAUUGUAUAGAUAGCGUGUUAUUUACGGAAUAACAUUUUCAGAGAAAGAGAUAGAUGGUCUGGAUGUAUUAUUCGAAAUUCAACAUAUCAUUGUGGAGGGGAAAGAAGUUUUACAUCGGCAAGACCACGUUGGUGGUUUAUAGUACUUUCAAAUUGUAAUACUAAACAGGGACUCAAAUUAAAUUAUAAAAUUAUCAUGACAAACGAUAGAGGAUUGUUUUUCGAACAAUUUUCAGCCGAUGAAUUUUAUAUUAUACAUAUUGACAUCUCAUAUCUAAUUGUCAAUGCAUUGAUGCUGUUAAUUACAGUAUUUUUCGCAUUUAAAUUAAAGUCUCGACAAUUCUUUCAUACAACUUACAAGAUAUAUUUAGUGUCUUUAACGUGUCAAGCCACAUAUCUAUUAAUAAUGAGCAUAUACUUAGGGAAAUUUGCAAAUGAUGGAAUUGAGAGACCGGGUGUAAAAACGUUUGCAAGGUUUUUCCAGUCAGCAUCAACUUGUUUUUUCUUGCUUUUAUUAAUUCUUAUGGGAAAAGGUUAUACUAUUACAAGAGGGCGCAUUAGUACAGGAGGAGUGAUAAAGAUUACUAUUUUUAUGACUAUAUACGUUAUAGCUUAUUUUAUACUAUUUGUGUUUGAAAAUAAAUUUUUUGAUCCUGGUUUAGUACUCUAUUUGUACGAAUCUCCGGCAGGAUAUGGUCUAAUUGGGCUUCAUAUACUUAGUUGGUUUUGGUUUUCCUAUGCAAUUUUCUGUACCAGAAAACGUUAUCCAGAGAAAAGUUCCUUUUACUACCUCUUUUAUUUGUUCUAUACUUUUUGGUUUCUAGCCAUGCCCAUAUUUGUGCUAAUUGCCUACUUCGUCAUUGAUAAAUGGGUAAGGGAAAAGGUUGUAAACGGAGUUGAGAAUACCAUAGCCUUCUUAGCACACUUAAUAUUCUUGAUAUUAACCAGACCUUCAGCUGCAAACAAAAAUUUUCCAUAUCAUGUAAAGACUACUCAGAUUGGAGUAAUGGACAAUGCUCCUCAUAUUGAGAUGAGAAACCAGAAAAAUUUUAAUCCUUUUUCUAAUGACUACAAUCCAACUUUUGAAUACGACGAACCAAUUGAAGGACAGAAAUCUUCUCAUUUAUUUACAAUUGACAACCCUAAUAAGAAUGAGAGUAAACAAACUCAGGAAGAAAAUAUAUUAGAAGAUAACGCAGCUCAGGAAGAUUUGGGAAGUUUAACUCAACUAAUUGUUGAUGAUGAACUAUUAAAAUAACCAUAUUUUCUUCUAUGUAAAAUUAUAUUAAAUCAAUUAUAAAAAAUGCAAUUUCUAGUAGGAAAGCUUAAAUGGAAAAGAGCAAAAUACUUUGCCAUAUUAUUAAAUUAUCACUAUUACUAUCAAAUGUUAAGUUACAGAGUUGUCUUGUUUCUAAAAAGGAAGCUAAAAUAUUUAUGAAUACUUAAAAAAAAUAUCGUAUCAAAUUAACUAUGUUCUAUUUCUUGUCCUUUUAAAAUUGUUAUAUCAGUUGAAAUAAGAAAAUAUCAAAUAAAUGUCA